RNAcentral lists this non-coding RNA (126 nucleotides) under Dasypus novemcinctus (nine-banded armadillo). The record is from RNAcentral. Lineage: Eukaryota; Metazoa; Chordata; Mammalia; Cingulata; Dasypodidae.
GUAUUGUAUGAAAGGAGAGAAGGUUAGCACUCCCCUUGACAAGAAUGGAAGAGGCCCUCGGGCCUGAACAACACACACAUUGUUAGGCAUUGCCACCUUCUUCAUGGCAUCUAACCAUUGUUUUGU